Molecule: long non-coding RNA, 607 nt
Organism: Rhineura floridana
Lineage: Eukaryota; Metazoa; Chordata; Lepidosauria; Squamata; Rhineuridae
Exons: 4
Source: RefSeq, a predicted model, not a curated record
AGAUCUUAACAGCACAGGAACCUGCCCCCCCAAAGGUAGCAACCCUUAAUGGUUGCAUUCCUAGCAGCAGCACCACCCACCUACAGCACAUGGUCACCUGGGAUAUUUCAUCCGAGCCUGGAGGCUGUUCGCCAACAGUAAAACACCUUGAAGACAAGCCACGGGCUUCACUUAAAUCAGAGAUUUGCCCUAGAAGCUGUUUUCUAAUACCAAGAACACGAAUCAAUACGAACGUGCCUGUGAACAUGUGCAGAAGUACACCGAGAACUGGAAACUUGUUUUGCUGCACUAAAGAAGCAAAAGGGGGUAACGCACAUGGAUCUUGGCUUCAGUGUGUUUGGGUGUCACAUAUAAACUGAGUUGCUGGUACCUGCUAGGGAUGCAUGGCCUAGAAGGAUGUCACUCAAGUGUGCUAAUGUUGCAUGCACCAGCAACAUGAUGUCAAGCAUGUAGAACUCCACAAGGACUCUGCUUGCAAAAAUGCCCUUUCAACUAUCUGCCUAGUCAACUGUCCUGAUUACAAGGCUUAAUGAUUAACUGCAUUUGAUAACACAGACUACUAUUUUGAAAUAAAAAAAGUGAUUUCAAUCAAACUACAGAAUACAGA